Molecule: signal recognition particle RNA, 305 nt
Filed under: Saimiri boliviensis boliviensis (Bolivian squirrel monkey)
Lineage: Eukaryota; Metazoa; Chordata; Mammalia; Primates; Cebidae
Description: Metazoan signal recognition particle RNA (ENSSBOG00000002201.1)
Rfam family: Metazoan signal recognition particle RNA
About the family: The signal recognition particle (SRP) is a universally conserved ribonucleoprotein.
Source: RNAcentral
GCCAGGCAUGGUGAUGGCGCGUGCCUGUAGUCCCAGCUACUCAGGAGGCUGAGGUGGGUGGAUCGAUUGAGCCCAGGAGUUCUGGGCUGUAGUGCACUAUGCCAAUGGGUGGGUGUCUGCACUAAGUUCUGCAUCAAUAUGGUGACCUCCCGAAAGCAGGGGACCACCAGGUUGCUUAAGGAGGGGUGAACCAGCCCAGGAAGGAAACUGAGCAGGUCAAAACUCCCAAGCUGAUCAGUAAUGGGAUCACGCCUGUGAAUAGCCACUGCACUCCAGACUGGGCAACAUAGCAAGACCCUGUCUAA